AUGGCCUGUUCCUAUCUCCUCUUCACAUUCCUUGUUCAGUGUACAGGAUCCUGGGCCCAGUCUGUGCUGACUCAGCAGCCCUCACUCUCUGGGACUCCAGGACAGAGGGUCACUAUCUCCUGCACUGGAAGCAGCAACAAUAUUGGUAGAUAUGAUGUGCAAUGGUACCAACAGAUUCAAGAAAUGGCCCCCAAACUCCUCAUCUAUGAUGAUAGUAAUCGAUACUCAGGAAUCCCUGAUCGUUUCUCUGGCUCCAAGUCUGGCAACUCUGCUUCACUGACCAUCACUGGGCUCCAGCCUGAGGAUGAGGCAGUCUAUUACUGUCAGUCUUAUGAUAACAGCUUCGAUGCUCGCACAGUGCUCCAGGCUCAUGGGGAACUUGAGGAGCUGAACAGGAUGGUGAAUUCUCUUUGUCCUGAAAAUUAA
This is a non-coding RNA of Ictidomys tridecemlineatus (thirteen-lined ground squirrel), 426 nucleotides long. The record is from the annotation of a RefSeq genome assembly. Lineage: Eukaryota; Metazoa; Chordata; Mammalia; Rodentia; Sciuridae.